CUUGGUUGAUCCUACCAAUAGUCAUAUGCUUGUCUCAAAGAUUAAGCCAUGCAUGUGUAAUUAUGAACUAAUUUAGAUUGUGAAACUGUGAAUGGCUCAUUAAAUCAGUUAUAGUUUGUUUGAUGGUAUCUACUACUCGGAUAACCAUAGUAAUUUUAGAGUUAAUACGUGUAACAAACCUUGACUUUUGGAAAGGAUGCAUUUAUUAGAUAAAAGGUCAAUGUUGGCUUUGCUCAUUUCUCUAAUGAUUCAUGAUAACUUGAUGGAUAGCACAGGCUUUAUGUCAGUGACACAUCAUUUAAAUUUUUGCCUAUCAACUUUCAAUGGCAAGAUAGUGGCCUACUAUGGUGGUGACGGGUGACAAAGAAUUAGGGUUUGAUUUUAGAGAGGAAGCCUAAGAAAUGGCUACCACAUCUAAGGAAGGCAGUAGGUGCGCAAAUUACCCAAUUUUGACAUAAGGAGGUAGUGACCAUAAAUAACAAUUAUGGGCUCUAUAAGUUUGGUAAUUCGAAUGAGUACAAUCUAAAUCCCUUAAUGAAGAUCCAUUAGAGGGCAUGUUUGGUGCCAAUAGCUAUGGUAAUUCCAGCUCCAAUAGUAUAUAUUUAAGUUGUUGCAAUUAGAAAACUUGUAGUUGGAACUAGGGUUAGGUCAUCUGGUUUACCUCAUGGUAAGCACCUAUCUUCUCAUCCAUACUACCGAUGAUAUGCUCCUUGCCUUAAUUAGCCUUGUUGUUCUUUAGCAUUGUUACUUAAAGGAUUUAGAGUGCUCAAAGCAAGCCUAUGCUUGUAUACAUUAGCAUGGGAUAACAUCAUUGGAUUUUAGUCCUAUUGUGUUGGCUUUCAAGAUUUGAGUGAUGAUUAAUAGGGAUAGUCGAGGGCAUUCAUAUUUCAUAGUUACAGGUGAAAUUCUUUAAUUUAUGAAAAAUGAACAACUAUGAAAGCAUUUGCCAAGGAUGUUUUCAUUAAUUAAGAGUGAAAGUCGGUGGCUUGAAGAUGAUCAGAUACCAUCCUAGUCUCAAUCAUCAUGAUAGGGAUAUAUCAUUGCAAUUAUUGCUCUUCAUUCAGGAAAUUCUAGUAAGUGCAAGUCAUCAGCUCACAUUGACUACAUUCCUACCCUUUCUACACAGUGCUUGUCGCUCCUACCAAUUGAAAGGUCUAAUGAAGUGUUCGGAUUACCAUGAUGUGGAUGGUUCACUACCCAAGACAUCUUAAGAAGUCCAUUGAAUCUUAUCAUUUAGAGAAAGGAAAAGUCGUAAUGAGAUUUCUGUAGGUGAAAUUAUAGAAAGAUCAUUG
This 1292-nucleotide ribosomal RNA is filed under the name Durio zibethinus. RNAcentral describes it as "SSU rRNA". It matches the Rfam family "Eukaryotic small subunit ribosomal RNA". Lineage: Eukaryota; Viridiplantae; Streptophyta; Magnoliopsida; Malvales; Malvaceae. The record is from RNAcentral.